AGACGGAGGGUGCAAGCGUUAAUCGGAAUUACUGGGCGUAAAGCGCGUGUAGGCGGCUUGGCAAGUCGGGCGUGAAAGCCCGGGGCUCAACCCCGGAAUGGCGCUCGAAACUGCCUGGCUUGAGUCCCGGAGAGGAGGGCGGAAUUCCCGGUGUAGAGGUGAAAUUCGUAGAUAUCGGGAGGAGCACCAGCGGCGAAGGCGGCCCUCUGGACGGUGACUGACGCUGAGACGCGAAAGCGUGGGGAGCAAACAGGAUUAGAUACCCCGGUAGUCC
This 274-nucleotide ribosomal RNA is filed under the name uncultured bacterium. RNAcentral's name for it is "partial 16S ribosomal RNA". It matches the Rfam family "Bacterial small subunit ribosomal RNA", at positions 523 to 796 of the family's 1533-position model. The record is from RNAcentral.